Long non-coding RNA from Saccostrea cuccullata (small rock oyster), 453 nucleotides. RefSeq lists it as uncharacterized. NCBI's taxonomy places the organism in Eukaryota, Metazoa, Mollusca, Bivalvia, Ostreida, Ostreidae. The transcript is spliced from 3 exons. The record is from RefSeq and is a predicted model, not a curated record.
UAAUUUUACUGUUUUAAAAAGUAGGUUAAAAAAUCUAUUUUUGCAUGCCAUGAAGGAAGGAUUUUGAUCAAGGAUUUUCAAGAGGAUGUUCCUUCCUCCAUCACACUAAUUUUAAACACGGUCGAAACUAGGAAGAAGUCGAUCCAUGUCUUUUAAUUUAAUUUAGAAAGUUACCGUGAAUGGCAGCUUCAACAAGUGGAUAACGUGUUCAAAAUUUUUCUCAACUGGGAUUCAAGAUAACGGUUUACUAAUGAAAACCAGCAUUAUAUCAAACGGUGCAAUGACAAGGAAGAAGACCGAGGAGAUUAUAGUGUUUAUAUGCCUUGUUGUCGCCGGCAUAUCACCUGCAGGUAUAUGCGGAACAAAAUAUAUUUGGGACCACUCGAGCUGAUAUUUUUUCAAAUCUUUAUUUCCCAGAUCCUAUUCGUUAAGAAUUUUUAUAUAAACAAAUAA